Triticum dicoccoides is the source of this 721-nucleotide long non-coding RNA. RefSeq lists it as uncharacterized. The transcript has 2 exons. Lineage: Eukaryota; Viridiplantae; Streptophyta; Magnoliopsida; Poales; Poaceae. The record is from RefSeq and is a predicted model, not a curated record.
GAAGCCGCCGCCGUGCGAGCACUCUUCGAAGGCCUCCUCCAGGAGCACGACCAUCCCGUCCGCCUGGCCGGCCCGCUCCCCGUCUCCCCCCACGCUCCCCACCACCGGCGCUGAGACCGAGUCAUCCGGCGACGACGAGAUCGCAUCUGAAUCCGGCGACUCUUCCCGCCCCGCGCGCACCCGCCGCGACCUGAGGUGAGUGUGUGAGUGGUUUCCGAUGCACUAUCUCUCUCCAUAUUUUCUUCGAUCCGGUGCUAGCUGAUCUGAUCUCGACGGUUGUCUCUGUUGUUGUCCGCGAGGGGCUGGGCGAGUGGGGUGCGCAGUGGACCGAGUUCGUCUCGUGGGAGCCCAGGGCGUUCGUCUACCACAAGUUCCUGUUUCAGACUUUUGUCAAAGCAGGAUAAUGGACUUGAAGUGAUUGCAGAUUUCUUAGCAAGAUCAGACAGACAAAAAGAAAGGUUCAGACAAGAUACAACAUGGGUGUCAAGGUGCGCAUAGGUGCAUUCACAAAGAGAAUUCUGAAGCUUCAUGGCGUGCCCCACCAGACCACGUUGUCGACGAGUGCGUCCGUCACCACUCCCUCUGCCAUCAUGGCUCACAUUUUUUGUUCUACAACAGUUGAUGUAGCGUCUUUCAUUGAGUCUUCCACUGUUCAGAUUACCAACACGACUCUUAUGUAAUUAUCAUGGUGCUAAUUCUAUAGUUAUUAGGGUGCUAAUGA